CACUUAUCAAGAAAGAUCGAGGGACUGGGCCCGAAGACAUCUUGGCAACAUAUCCAUAGCCGCAAUAUUGGAUGUUGUGCCAACUCCCAUUCUAGAUGCGAAUAUCUGGAUAUAAGAUAGGUA
This 123-nucleotide non-coding RNA is filed under the name Reichenbachiella agariperforans. RNAcentral describes it as "SAM-I sequence". It matches the Rfam family "SAM riboswitch aptamer (S box leader)". Rfam says of the family: The SAM riboswitch is found upstream of a number of genes which code for proteins involved in methionine or cysteine biosynthesis in Gram-positive bacteria. The SAM riboswitch acts at the level of transcription termination control. Lineage: Bacteria; Pseudomonadati; Bacteroidota; Cytophagia; Cytophagales; Reichenbachiellaceae. The record is from RNAcentral.